CCUACGGGUGGCAGCAGUGGGGAAUAUUGGGCAAUGGGCGCAAGCCUGACCCUGCAACGCCGCGUGAAGGAAGAAGGCUUUCGGGUUGUAAACUUCUUUUCUCAGGGACGAAGAAAGUGACGGUACCUGCGGAAUAAGCCACGGCUAACUACGUUCUAGCAGCCGCGGUAAUACGUAGGUGGCAUGCGUUAUCCGGCUUUAUUGGGUGUAAUGGGCGUGUAGGCGGGAAAGCAAGUCAGGUGUGAAAACUCAGGGCUCAACCCUGAGCCUGCAUUUGAAACUGUUUGUCUAGAGUGCUGGAGAGGCAAUCGGAAUUCCGGGUGUAGCAGUGAAAUGCGUAGAUAUACGGAGGAACACCAGUGGCGAAGGCGGAUUGCUGGACAGUAACUGACGCUGAGGCGCGAAGGCGUGGGGAGCGAACGGGAUUAGAUACCCCGGUAGUC
Molecule: ribosomal RNA, 443 nt
Filed under: uncultured bacterium
Lineage: Bacteria
Description: partial 16S ribosomal RNA
Rfam family: Bacterial small subunit ribosomal RNA
Source: RNAcentral